AAAAUGUUGUACUAUACUAUUUU
This 23-nucleotide small nuclear RNA is filed under the name Arabidopsis thaliana (thale cress). RNAcentral's name for it is "snRNA_01361". The record is from RNAcentral. Lineage: Eukaryota; Viridiplantae; Streptophyta; Magnoliopsida; Brassicales; Brassicaceae.